CACGCUUCUGCCUUUUGGCUAAGAUCAAGUGUAGUAAUCUGUUCUUUAUCAGUUUAAUAUCUGAUACGGCCCUCUAUCUGGGGAACGGCCAUAUAUUAAAUUGAUUUUGGAACAGGAGAUGGGAAUAGCUGCCGGUUCGGUUCCAAUUCCCAGACGACGACCUGGUAUUGCAGUACUUCCAGGAGCCGUGUGCACUUU
Polypterus senegalus (gray bichir) is the source of this 198-nucleotide small nuclear RNA. RefSeq annotates it as U2 spliceosomal RNA. The transcript has a single exon. The record is from RefSeq and is a predicted model, not a curated record. NCBI's taxonomy places the organism in Eukaryota, Metazoa, Chordata, Cladistia, Polypteriformes, Polypteridae.